UACGAAGGGGGCUAGCGUUGCUCGGAAUUACUGGGCGUAAAGGGCGCGUAGGCGGACAGUUUAGUCAGAGGUGAAAGCCCAGGGCUCAACCUUGGAACUGCCUUUGAUACUGACUGUCUUGAGUUCGGGAGAGGUGAGUGGAAUGCCGAGUGUAGAGGUGAAAUUCGUAGAUAUUCGGCGGAACACCAGUGGCGAAGGCGACUCACUGGCCCGAUACUGACGCUGAGGCGCGAAAGCUAGGGGAGCGAACGGG
Molecule: ribosomal RNA, 253 nt
Filed under: uncultured bacterium
Lineage: Bacteria
Description: partial 16S ribosomal RNA
Rfam family: Bacterial small subunit ribosomal RNA
Source: RNAcentral